GACAGAGGUGCCAAGCGUUAGGCGGAAUCACUGGGCUUAAAGCGUGUGUAGGUGGAUUUGUAAGUACCUUGUGAAAUCCCAUGGCUCAACCAUGGAACUGCUCGGUAUACUGCGAAUCUGGAGUAUGGCAGAGGGAGGUGGAAUUCCACGUGUAGCGGUGAAAUGCGUAGAGAUGUGGAGGAACACCAAUGGCGAAGGCAGCCUCCUGGGCCAAUACUGACACUCAUGCACGAAAGCGUGGGGAGCAAACAGG
RNAcentral lists this ribosomal RNA (253 nucleotides) under uncultured bacterium. Its description in RNAcentral is "partial 16S ribosomal RNA". It matches the Rfam family "Bacterial small subunit ribosomal RNA", at positions 524 to 776 of the family's 1533-position model. The record is from RNAcentral.